RNAcentral lists this ribosomal RNA (585 nucleotides) under uncultured bacterium. Its description in RNAcentral is "bacterial SSU rRNA". It matches the Rfam family "Bacterial small subunit ribosomal RNA", at positions 224 to 800 of the family's 1533-position model. The record is from RNAcentral.
GAUGGACCCGCGGUGCAUUAGCUAGUUGGUGAGGUAACGGCUCACCAAGGCAACGAUGCAUAGCCGACCUGAGAGGGUGAUCGGCCACAUUGGGACUGAGACACGGCCCAAACUCCUACGGGAGGCAGCAGUAGGGAAUCUUCGGCAAUGGACGAAAGUCUGACCGAGCAACGCCGCGUGAGUGAAGAAGGUUUUCGGAUCGUAAAACUCUGUUGUUAGAGAAGAACAAGGAUGAGAGUAAAAUGUUCAUCCCUUGACGGUAUCUAACCAGAAAGCCACGGCUAACUACGUGCCAGCAGCCGCGGUAAUACGUAGGUGGCAAGCGUUGUCCGGAUUUAUUGGGCGUAAAGCGAGCGCAGGCGGUUUCUUAAGUCUGAUGUGAAAGCCCCCGGCUCAACCGGGGAGGGUCAUUGGAAACUGGGAAACUUGAGUGCAGAAGAGGAGAGUGGAAUUCCAUGUGUAGCGGUGAAAUGCGUAGAUAUAUGGAGGAACACCAGUGGCGAAGGCGGCUCUCUGGUCUGUAACUGACGCUGAGGCUCGAAAGCGUGGGGAGCAAACAGGAUUAGAUACCCUGGUAGUCCACGC